This 223-nucleotide long non-coding RNA is filed under the name Elaeis guineensis (African oil palm). RNAcentral's name for it is "long non-coding RNA (EGUI_LNC041826)". The record is from RNAcentral. Lineage: Eukaryota; Viridiplantae; Streptophyta; Magnoliopsida; Arecales; Arecaceae.
AGAUGAUUCCUCCUCUAAAAUUCUCACUCUGAGAAUUUUUUUGAAUACCAGGACCUCAAGAUGCUCUUCCUCUUCUCCUAGCCUUCCUAUCCCUACCUUUCUUCUCUCCUUGUCUUCCUUAAUUCUCUUCCUAGACUCUUGUCCUAAAAUCGGAUUUGUCCUUUCUAUUUUUGGACUUGUCCUAAUAAGAGAAGGAAGAAACUAAUUGGACAAUAGGGAGAGG